RNAcentral lists this ribosomal RNA (440 nucleotides) under uncultured bacterium. RNAcentral's name for it is "bacterial SSU rRNA". It matches the Rfam family "Bacterial small subunit ribosomal RNA", at positions 338 to 795 of the family's 1533-position model. The record is from RNAcentral.
CCUACGGGUUGCAGCAGUGGGGAAUAUUGGACAAUGGGCGCAAGCCUGAUCCAGCCAUGCCGCGUGAGUGAAGAAGGCCUUAGGGUUGUAAAGCUCUUUCACCGGUGAAGAUAAUGACGGUAACCGGAGAAGAAGCCCCGGCUAACUUCGUGCCAGCAGCCGCGGUAAUACGAAGGGGGCUAGCGUUGUUCGGAAUUACUGGGCGUAAAGCGCGCGUAGGCGGAUAGAUAAGUCAGAGGUGAAAUCCCGGGGCUCAACCCCGGAAUUGCCUUUGAUACUGUUUAUCUUGAGUGCAGAAGAGGUAAGUGGAAUUCCGAGUGUAGAGGUGAAAUUCGUAGAUAUUCGGAGGAACACCAGUGGCGAAGGCGGCUUACUGGUCUGCAACUGACGCUGAGGCGCGAAAGCGUGGGGAGCAAACAGGAUUAGAUACCCGUGUAGUC